This 894-nucleotide ribosomal RNA is filed under the name Clostridiales bacterium enrichment culture clone B1. Its description in RNAcentral is "bacterial SSU rRNA". It matches the Rfam family "Bacterial small subunit ribosomal RNA", at positions 8 to 917 of the family's 1533-position model. Lineage: Bacteria; Bacillati; Bacillota; Clostridia; Eubacteriales. The record is from RNAcentral.
AGAGUUUGAUCUUGGCUCAGGACGAACGCUGGCGGCGUGCCUAACACAUGCAAGUCAAGCGGGGAGAUCCCUUCGGGGGUCUUCUAGCGGCGGACGGGUGAGUAACGCGUGAGCAACCUUUCCUUCACAGGGGGAUAACGCAGCGAAAGCUGUGCUAAUACCGCAUGAGACCACAGGACCGCAUGGUCAAGGGGUCAAAGGAGCAAUCCAGUGAAGGGUGGGCUCGCGUCUGAUUAGCUAGUUGGCGGGGUAAAGGCCCACCAAGGCAACGAUCAGUAGCCGACCUGAGAGGGUGAUCGGCCACACUGGGACUGAGACACGGCCCAGACUCCUACGGGAGGCAGCAGUGGGGAAUAUUGGGCAAUGGGGGAAACCCUGACCCAGCAACGCCGCGUGAGGGAAGAAAGUUUUCGGAUCGUAAACCUCUGUCCUUGGUGAAGAGCAGAAGACGGUAGCCAAGGAGGAAGCCCCGGCUAACUACGUGCCAGCAGCCGCGGUAAUACGUAGGGGGCAAGCGUUGUCCGGAAUGAUUGGGCGUAAAGGGCGCGUAGGCGGCCUGUUAAGUCUGGAGUGAAAGUCCUGCUUUUAAGGUGGGAAGUGCUUUGGAAACUGGCGGGCUGGAGUGCAGGAGAGGUUAGCGGAAUUCCCGGUGUAGCGGUGAAAUGCGUAGAGAUCGGGAGGAACACCAGUGGCGAAGGCGGCUAACUGGACUGUAACUGACGCUGAGGCGCGAAAGUGUGGGGAGCAAACAGGAUUAGAUACCCUGGUAGUCCACACUGUAAACGAUGAAUGCUAGGUGUAGGGGGUAUCGACCCCUUCUGUGCCGGAGUAAACACAAUAAGCAUUCCGCCUGGGGAGUACGGCCGCAAGGUUGAACUAAAACGAAUUGACGGA